UUUAUGCAGUUCUUUUAAAAAUAUUGUUUGCUGUAUUUCAUUUAAUUUUACAUCAAUAACUUUAUCCAUAUACAUAUCUUAUAUCUAUAGUAGCAAAAGCAGCUUUUGUAAAAUCCCUUAUCUGCAUCCAACUAACGAACUGUAAAUCAAAAAAUUCAACACAGUAACACACUCAAAUCCUGUAGUAUUAGUCUCAACCACUUAGAUCACAUAGGCAUAAUCCAAGGCGUCCAGGUCAGGUCAUGCACCAGAAAGAGAAGACCCUGG
This 267-nucleotide unclassified non-coding RNA is filed under the name Hevea brasiliensis (rubber tree). Lineage: Eukaryota; Viridiplantae; Streptophyta; Magnoliopsida; Malpighiales; Euphorbiaceae. The record is from RNAcentral.